ACUGAGGAGUCCCAUAAUAGGACGAAACGAUCGUCU
RNAcentral lists this non-coding RNA (36 nucleotides) under Schistosoma mattheei. The record is from RNAcentral. Lineage: Eukaryota; Metazoa; Platyhelminthes; Trematoda; Strigeidida; Schistosomatidae.